CCUACGGGAGGCAGCAGUGAGGAAUAUUGGUCAAUGGGCUUACGCCUGAACCAGCCAAGUCGCGUGAGGGAAGACUGCCCUAUGGGUUGUAAACCUCUUUUGUCAGGGAGCAACGCCGGCUACGUGUAGCCUGACUGAGAGUACCUGAAGAAAAAGCAUCGGCUAACUCCGUGCCAGCAGCCGCGGUAAUACGGAGGAUGCGAGCGUUAUCCGGAUUUAUUGGGUUUAAAGGGUGCGUAGGCGGAAUGCCAAGUCAGCGGUAAAAUCGCGGGGCUCAACCUCGCUCCGCCGUUGAUACUGGCGUUCUUGAGUGGGCGAGAAGUAUGCGGAAUGCGUGGUGUAGCGGUGAAAUGCAUAGAUAUCACGCAGAACUCCGAUUGCGAAGGCAGCAUACCGGCGCCCAACUGACGCUGAAGCACGAAAGCGUGGGUAUCGAACAGGAUUAGAUACCCCAGUAGUC
This 460-nucleotide ribosomal RNA is filed under the name uncultured bacterium. RNAcentral describes it as "partial 16S ribosomal RNA". It matches the Rfam family "Bacterial small subunit ribosomal RNA", at positions 338 to 795 of the family's 1533-position model. The record is from RNAcentral.